AGCGGUGGAGCAUGUGGUUCAAUUCGACGCAACGCGAAGAACCUUACCCAGGCUUGAACAGCGAGUGACCACUUCCGAAAGGGAGCUUCCGCAAGGACACUCGUAGAGGUGCUGCAUGGCUGUCGUCAGCUCGUGUCGUGAGAUGUUGGGUUAAGUCCCGCAACGAGCGCAACCCUUGUCUACUGUUGCCAUCAGGUUAUGCUGGGCACUCUGUAGAGACUGCCGGUGAUAAACCGGAGGAAGGUGGGGAUGACGUCAAGUCAGCAUGGCCUUUAUGUCUGGGGCUACACACGUGCUACAAUGGCAGAUACAAACCGUCGCGAGACCGCAAGGUGGAGUUAAUCGGAGAAAGUCUGUCUCAGUUCGGAUCGUAGGCUGCAGCUCGCCUGCGUGAAGUUGGAAUCGCUAGUAAUCGCGGAUCAGCACGCCGCGGUGAUACGUUCCCGGGCAUUGUACACACCGCCCGUC
This 468-nucleotide ribosomal RNA is filed under the name uncultured bacterium. RNAcentral's name for it is "bacterial SSU rRNA". It matches the Rfam family "Bacterial small subunit ribosomal RNA", at positions 928 to 1398 of the family's 1533-position model. The record is from RNAcentral.